This 354-nucleotide transfer-messenger RNA is filed under the name Fidelibacterota bacterium CG08_land_8_20_14_0_20_45_22. Its description in RNAcentral is "Candidatus Marinimicrobia bacterium CG08_land_8_20_14_0_20_45_22 transfer-messenger RNA". It matches the Rfam family "transfer-messenger RNA". Rfam says of the family: Bacterial tmRNA, also known as 10Sa RNA or SsrA, is named for its dual tRNA and mRNA-like properties. Its role is to liberate the mRNA from a stalled ribosome. Lineage: Bacteria; Pseudomonadati; Fidelibacterota. The record is from RNAcentral.
GGGGGCGAAUGGAUUCGACGGGAUUGAAGAUCCAAUAGAAUGCGCGCCGUGGUUCUCAGGAAGGCCACGAUAAAAAACCUGAAUAAAGUCAAAUGCCAAUAACUUUGGCACCGUCGCUUACGCUUAGUUAAGUGACCGUUCUUCUCCGAUCUCGCCUGUGGGUUGGUCCAGAGCGUCGAUAAUACGGGCUGGUCUCACGGAAUCGGUUUGUGUUUCGGGAGAUGAGACUCAGCAGACUCGUUCUUCCUCAGUUGGCUGAUUGGCGCGGGAAGAACUAAAACCAGCAAUCAGCUACGCGCGUAGUGCUCUGUUCGGUCGCUUUUUCGGACGAGGGUUCAAUUCCCUCCGCCUCCA